UUGAUCCUGGCUCAGAAUCAACGCUGGCGGCGUGCCUAACACAUGCAAGUCGAACGCGAAAGGGGAGCAAUCCCUGAUUAGAGUGGCAAACGGGUGAGUUACACGUGGGUGACCUGCCUUCGAGUGGGGGAUAACCUUCCGAAAGGAGGUCUAAUACCGCAUGACAUACCGUGUUUGGAUACACGGAUAUCAAAGCCGGUGAUCGCAAGACCUGGCGCUUGGAGAGGGGCCCGCGUCCGAUUAGCUAGUUGGUGAGGUAACGGCUCACCAAGGCUCCGAUCGGUAUCCGGCCUGAGAGGUCGGACGGACACACUGGAACUGAGACACGGUCCAGACUCCUACGGGAGGCUGCAGUGGGGAAUUGUUCGCAAUGGGCGAAAGCCUGACGACGCAACGCCGUGUGGAGGAUGAAGAAUUUCGGUUCGUAAACUCCUUUCGACCGAGAUGAAUACCCAUGGACCUAACACGUCUGUGGGCUGACAGUAUCGAGAGAAGAAGCUCCGGCUAACUCUGUGCCAGCAGCCGCGGUAAUAAGGU
This 537-nucleotide ribosomal RNA is filed under the name uncultured Acidobacteriota bacterium. RNAcentral describes it as "bacterial SSU rRNA". It matches the Rfam family "Bacterial small subunit ribosomal RNA", at positions 13 to 529 of the family's 1533-position model. Lineage: Bacteria; Pseudomonadati; Acidobacteriota. The record is from RNAcentral.